CCUACGGGUGGCAGCAGUCGAGAAUCAUUCACAAUGGGGGAAACCCUGAUGGUGCGACGCCGCGUGGGGGAAUGAAGGUCUUCGGAUUGUAAACCCCUGUCAUGUGGGAGCAAAGUAAAAAGAUAGUACCACAAGAGGAAGAGACGGCUAAAUCGGUGCCAGCAGCCGCGGUAAUACAGAGGGCUCCAGCGUUGUUCGGAAUCACUGGGCGUAAAGCGUGUGUAGGUUGUUACGUAAGUCGUGUGUGAAAGGCGCGGGCUCAACCCGCGGACGGCACAUGAGACUGCGAGACUAGAGUGAGGGAGGGGGAACCGGAAUUCUCGGUGUAGCAGUGAAAUGCGUAGAUAUCGAGAAGAACACUCGUGGCGAAGGCAGGUUCCUGGACAUUAACUGACGCUGAGGCACGAAGGCGAGGGGAGCGAACGGGAUUAGAUACCCCAGUAGUC
Molecule: ribosomal RNA, 446 nt
Filed under: uncultured bacterium
Lineage: Bacteria
Description: partial 16S ribosomal RNA
Rfam family: Bacterial small subunit ribosomal RNA
Source: RNAcentral